This 3718-nucleotide long non-coding RNA is filed under the name Marmota monax (woodchuck). Lineage: Eukaryota; Metazoa; Chordata; Mammalia; Rodentia; Sciuridae. The record is from RNAcentral.
GGAAUCAGUAGAUUGGAUUGUUGUUCAUCACAUAAUCCAUCUACUGAAAACUCCAUAGGAAGAAUUUAUUGAUGGUGGACUUGGCCAGGAGACUUACCCUGGAAUGGAAGGUGGGGAGAUAACAGUGUAUCAGUUCUAAGCCUUGCCCUUAGAGGAACCAUGUAUUUCUGUCCUCAGGAACAUCUGACUUCUGCCAUAAGAAGAUUAUAUACCUAAUUAGAAGCCUGUUGGCAUCUGACUGAAUUCACAUAGUGGUGAGCCAUUCCAGUCGAUCUGCAGAUAGGCAGGUUUAUGAAUGAGACAUAACUACCGUUGUGUGCCACUGUAAUAUUUGGGGUUGUCUGUUACACAGUAAUAACUAACAGUUACACAAGUGAAUUUUAUUGUUUAAGUGUUUAAGAAAUUUAUUAAAUUAUUGGAAAUAAAGCUUAUGUUUAGGCUAAACUGUUUUAUUAUUUAGUAAAAAGUGGUGACUGAAAAACUGAAGUGUAUACUUCAAUAUUGAAUUAUGUGUAUGCUGUUAUACUUGAUUUCUUAAAAUUCAGAAAUUUCAAAAAUGUUUAAGCAUAGGUGUAAGAAGGUAGCUUUCCAAAGUGAUUAUCUGAAAGGGGAUAGUAUGUAUCUGUAUAUGUAUGUCUAGAGAUGACUGAUUGAUCAAAAAGCAGACCCAGUAUAUACAAACUCAUGAUUAUAUUUUCUUAUCUUUAUUAUCUGCUGUUUAUAUGUCUUUUGAUUAUAGCUUCAUCUCUUUUGUUGGCUUCAUACUGAUUUUCAUUUUAAUAGCCCCUGCCAGAAACUACUGUUUUUGUAUUUUUCUGAAUGGUGUUUCUCUCCCUUUCACAUGAAAAUGUCAUCUGCAUGUGUGAACAUUUGCUAUCUCCACUUCUCUCUGAUGUCAAGGAUUUUUGUUAUUAUGUUGGAAGAAAAGGCCUCCAUUUUCCAUUUGUGUUCAGAGACAUCUUUGAAUGUGAGCAGAAUGUGAAGCUAGCCUGAUUUUAAAAGGUCAUGCACAAGAGUAGGAAAACUUACCAAGCAGAGAAGCAAAAGUUCCAUAAUUGCUAAAAUAAUGAGGAAGUCUUCAGAGUGCUACAAUGGGAAAGGAAGCUAGACAUUCUAAACCCUCAUCCAAGUAUGGGGAAAUUGUGUCUGCCCUGGAUCAGCAGGUAGGGACGGGUCUUGUGAAAACAAAGAGCACAGAAUACAAGAAGUGAGAUAGGAAAACAACUCUUUCCAGAUGCAGACUCCUGAAUAAGAAUUUGGGAACUAGCAGUUUAUUCGAGGGGAACUUCAGAAGGUCCUGGUAGAGUCCCCAAGUGAGGUCCCCAGGUGUGCAGCAUGGGCAUCACCUGGAAGCUUGUUGGAGAUGCAGAAGCUGGAGUUUUUCCUCUGGCUUGAAUCCUCCACUGAUUAAGGGUUGUUCUCAGACACUUAAAGUCCCAGGACUUCUGCUGACUGCUGGGCAAGAUCUAGCUCUCAGAUGGCACUUCCCCUUGGCAGGGCAGGAGGAUACUGUCAGCUUGCACUUGGGCAUGCAGUGGAGAUUUGUCAAAGCCCUGCGGACAGGCAUGGAGAGCUGAAUAUUCACCCUGCCCUGAACUGAGUGGCAGCUGGGAGCCUUUUCGUUGUAGGAGACAAAUCCCAGGCAGAGAGUUUGGUCGCUCAGGGUAUUUCAUACAGUGAUUAGCUUUAUUAACAAUCAGACUGUCUCCACCUUUGAUAUGAAAAGUACCAGGUCAAUGUUUUCAAAUACAAUUUCAUAAGAAUAUGAUUCAAAGUUAUAGAGAGCUCCUGAGUAAAAAUUGCAGAACUUGUUUUCUUAUGUUUGUGCUGCCAAAUUCUUGAUUAGAAUGUCUCCUACUCUUCUCUACCCUGGACGCUGCUCAAGGGAUGAUGACUCUGACCUUGGAGCAUGUGGGUGCCCUGCUUGCACUGUUUCAUUUAGCACCUGGAUCCUCACGCUGACCUUUCUCCCAUUUGUCUCUGGACAUUCAGACUCACCUAAUGUGUGCGGAGUGUAAUACUUUGUUUUGUUUGAACAAAAGCCAUGUGUAACAGAGUUUAAUUUUCUUUUUAUCUCCUCAGAUUUGCAUGAUCCUUGAUCAAUGCUCAGGGGAGUCCCCCUGACUGCCACCACUACUGCCAUCAUUGAUUGUUUUCAAAUACUGUAUCCCAUUUUGUCAUGACAUAUAGUUCUUUCAUGUACUGCUGAUUUCUACUUCCUAAUAUUUUGUUGAAGAUUUUGACAUCAACAUUUUUGAGAUAUAUUGGUCUGUAGAUGUUCCCCAUCCCUCCCUGCCUCUCUCCCUCCCCCUCUCCCUAUCUCUCUCUCUCUCCCUCACCCUUUCCUUCCCUCCCUCCUUUGAACUGUCUUUGUAUGGUUUUUGUGUCAGGUUCAUAAAAUGAGCUGGGAAGUGCUCCCCUCAGUAUUCUGGAGGAGAUUGUGUAGAUUUGAUAUCCUUUAAACAACUAUCUGAACCCUGGAGAUUUCAUUUUUGGAAAUUUUAAAAUUAUGGAAUCAUUUUUUUAAAAAAAUACUUAUUGGACUACUCAAAUUAUCUAGUUCAAUCUGGGGUGAUUCGUGGUCAUGUCUGGUUUGGCCUGCUUUAUAUUGAGAAGGUGAUUUGCUAUAGGCAGAGCUGAGCUCAAGUCUGACUUGGUGCCACUCUCCCACUUGGCAGAGCAGUCUCAUCUCAACUUGGUCCUGACAGCUCUCACUUCCUGCCCCUGAUCUCUCUGGUCUCCAGACCACAGGUUUUCUUGGUUUCUAAACUGGUUUUCAAGAUUCUCCAGCUAUAACCCAUAGUGAGUCAUAAGCUCUGAGGGCAAGAACAAUAGCCUAUUUUACAAAACAGCCACCUGACUUGUUCAUUAGUGCUUAGGAACUGCUGUUAUAGAAUGUCUUUCAUCAGAAGGAUAAAGCAUACCUUGCAUUUUUCCCCCAAAUGCCUUCAGAUUAACAGGGGCCAUUUAAGGACAGUGAUGGGAGAGAAAAAGCCAGAGUCUUGGGUCUGUGGAAGUGUGAUUGUGUCUUAUUUAUCAGGCUUCUCAAGUGACAUUCUGUCCCUGACCAUCCACAGGCUUAAGGUCAGUCUUGAUUUUUCUUUUCUUUUUUUUUUUUUGAUGUGUGUGCGUGUGUGUUUAAACAACCACCAUCAGAGAAACCUGGAAAGUGCUGUACAGAGAGCUUAUUUGUGAAGCAUUUGAAAGUAAAUAGCCAAACAGAUGACCCAUUGCCCACAAAUACUUCAACAGGACAUUCUCUUACUUAGCUGUAAUACAUUAUCAAAAUGAGGACGUUAACAUUAAUACAUUAUUGCCAACUAAUUCUCCAAACCCACUCAUGUUUCAAGAUUUGUCCCAAUGAUGUCUUAUGUUACAUUCAGUGUUCCCUCCUUAGUCACCCUCAGUCUAGAAUGAUUCUGAAGCCUUCCCUUGACUUUCAUGACCUUGACACUUGUUAAGUUUACAGACCAGUUAUUCUGUAAAAUAAUCUCAGUUUGGGUUGGUUGAUGUCUCCCCAUAGCCACAUUGGGGUCAUGCAUCUUCGGCAGGGACAUGAAUAAGAUCUGUCACAUUUUUCCUAGUGCACCUUAUAGGUGGUGCUUGAUAGCCAUCUGUCUCGUUAUUGAUGUUGUUCAUUUUGGUCAUUGUAUUAAGUGAUGUUUUCCAGGCUUCUUUUCUGUAAAUUUUCCCUUUGGUAAUUAAUAAAUAUUUUGUG